RNAcentral lists this ribosomal RNA (1502 nucleotides) under Dechloromonas sp. enrichment culture clone ECC2-1. RNAcentral describes it as "bacterial SSU rRNA". It matches the Rfam family "Bacterial small subunit ribosomal RNA". Lineage: Bacteria; Pseudomonadati; Pseudomonadota; Betaproteobacteria; Rhodocyclales; Azonexaceae. The record is from RNAcentral.
AGAGUUUGACCAUAAACACAUUGAACGCUGGCGGCAUGCCUUACACAUGCCCUUCGAACGGCAGCACGGACUUCGGUCUGGUGGCAAGUGGCGAACGGGUGAGUAAUGUAUCGGAACGUACCUUUCAGUGGGGGAUAACGUAGCGAAAGUUACGCUAAUACCGCAUAUUCUGUGAGCAGGAAAGCAGGGGAUCGCAAGACCUUGCGCUGAUUGAGCGGCCGAUAUCAGAUUAGCUAGUUGGUGGGGUAAAGGCCUACCAAGGCUACGAUCUGUAGCGGGUCUGAGAGGAUGAUCCGCCACACUGGAACUGAGACACGGUCCAGACUCCUACGGGAGGCAGCAGUGGGGAAUUUUGGACAAUGGGGGCAACCCUGAUCCAGCCAUGCCGCGUGAGUGAAGAAGGCCUUCGGGUUGUAAAGCUCUUUCGGCCGGGAAGAAAUCGCAUAGGUUAAUACCCUGUGUGGAUGACGGUACCGGAAUAAGAAGCACCGGCUAACUACGUGCCAGCAGCCGCGGUAAUACGUAGGGUGCGAGCGUUAAUCGGAAUUACUGGGCGUAAAGCGUGCGCAGGCGGUUUCGUAAGACAGAGGUGAAAUCCCCGGGCUCAACCUGGGAACUGCCUUUGUGACUGCGAAGCUAGAGUACGGCAGAGGGGGGUGGAAUUCCACGUGUAGCAGUGAAAUGCGUAGAGAUGUGGAGGAACACCGAUGGCGAAGGCAGCCCCCUGGGCCGAUACUGACGCUCAUGCACGAAAGCGUGGGUAGCAAACAGGAUUAGAUACCCUGGUAGUCCACGCCCUAAACGAUGUCAACUAGGUGUUGGGUGGGUAAAACCAUUUAGUACCGUAGCUAACGCGUGAAGUUGACCGCCUGGGGAGUACGGCCGCAAGGUUAAAACUCAAAGGAAUUGACGGGGACCCGCACAAGCGGUGGAUGAUGUGGAUUAAUUCGAUGCAACGCGAAAAACCUUACCUACCCUUGACAUGUUCAGAAUCCCGGAGAGAUUUGGGAGUGCCCGAAAGGGAGCUGGAACACAGGUGCUGCAUGGCUGUCGUCAGCUCGUGUCGUGAGAUGUUGGGUUAAGUCCCGCAACGAGCGCAACCCUUGUCGUUAAUUGCCAUCAUUUAGUUGGGCACUUUAACGAGACUGCCGGUGACAAACCGGAGGAAGGUGGGGAUGACGUCAAGUCCUCAUGGCCCUUAUGGGUAGGGCUUCACACGUCAUACAAUGGUCGGUACAGAGGGUUGCCAAGCCGCGAGGUGGAGCCAAUCCCAGAAAGCCGAUCGUAGUCCGGAUUGCAGGCUGCAACUCGCCUGCAUGAAGUCGGAAUCGCUAGUAAUCGCGGAUCAGCAUGUCGCGGUGAAUACGUUCCCGGGUCUUGUACACACCGCCCGUCACACCAUGGGAGCGGGUUCCGCCAGAAGUAGGUAGCCUAACCGCAAGGGGGGCGCUUACCACGGCGGGGUUCGUGACUGGGGUGAAGUCGUAACAGAGGUAACCGUA